CAGUCGCCGCGGGAACACGUAGGGUGCGAGCGUUAAUCGGAAUUACUGGGCGUAAAGCGUGCGCAGGCGGUUCGUUAAGACAGAUGUGAAAUCCCCGGGCUUAACCUGGGAACUGCAUUUGUGACUGGCGAGCUAGAGUAUGGCAGAGGGGGGUAGAAUUCCACGUGUAGCAGUGAAAUGCGUAGAGAUGUGGAGGAAUACCGAUGGCGAAGGCAGCCCCCUGGGCCAAUACUGACGCUCAUGCACGAAAGCGUGGGGAGCAAACAGGAUUAGAUACCCCCGUAGUCCCUGUCUCUUAUAA
This 301-nucleotide ribosomal RNA is filed under the name uncultured bacterium. RNAcentral's name for it is "partial 16S ribosomal RNA". It matches the Rfam family "Bacterial small subunit ribosomal RNA", at positions 509 to 809 of the family's 1533-position model. The record is from RNAcentral.